AGGGCACUGGGCCAGGAAGGAGGCAGAAGCCUGCAGGAGAGGCCUGUGGAGGGGCUUCGGGCCUCAGACAAGCCCCUCUCUGGUGUCCUUGGAGCCCAGGAUACCUGGCUGGUGAUAUAAAUGCUGUUUUCACCAGAAGCCACAGUUCUGGGAUCUCAGAAGUGAUGGAUGAUCCUAGGCCCAACUCAGAGAUUGGCCCAUGCUGGCUAACUAGUAUGGUAGCUGGCUGGACAUUCCCUGGGUAAUUUUCUUAAAAUGCCC
RNAcentral lists this long non-coding RNA (261 nucleotides) under Homo sapiens (human). RNAcentral describes it as "non-protein coding lnc-SMAD6-4:1". The record is from RNAcentral. Lineage: Eukaryota; Metazoa; Chordata; Mammalia; Primates; Hominidae.